This 496-nucleotide ribosomal RNA is filed under the name Bacillus sp. AFS015802. Its description in RNAcentral is "bacterial LSU rRNA". It matches the Rfam family "Bacterial large subunit ribosomal RNA", at positions 503 to 1001 of the family's 2925-position model. The record is from RNAcentral. Lineage: Bacteria; Bacillati; Bacillota; Bacilli; Caryophanales; Bacillaceae.
GUGAGGGAAAGGCGAAAAGAACCCCGGGAGGGGAGUGAAAUAGAACCUGAAACCGGAUGCAUACAAACAGUGGGAGCGGACUUGUUCCGUGACUGCGUACCUUUUGUAUAAUGGGUCAGCGACUUACGUUCAGUAGCAAGCUUAACCGAAUAGGGGAGGCGUAGGGAAACCGAGUCCGAAUAGGGCGCUUUAGUUGCUGGGCGUAGACCCGAAACCGAGUGAUCUAUCCAUGGCCAGGAUGAAGGUGCGGUAACACGCACUGGAGGUCCGAACCCACUAGUGUUGCAAAACUAGGGGAUGAGCUGUGGAUAGGGGUGAAAGGCUAAACAAACUCGGAGAUAGCUGGUUCUCCCCGAAAACUAUUUAGGUAGUGCCUCAUGUAUCACUUCCGGGGGUAAAGCACUGUUAUGGCUAGGGGGUCAUUGCGAUUUACCAAACCAUGGCAAACUCUGAAUACCGGAAAGUGCGAGCAUGGGAGACAGACGGUGGGUGCUAA